This is a long non-coding RNA of Etheostoma spectabile (orangethroat darter), 103 nucleotides long. RefSeq lists it as uncharacterized. NCBI's taxonomy places the organism in Eukaryota, Metazoa, Chordata, Actinopteri, Perciformes, Percidae. The transcript is spliced from 3 exons. The record is from RefSeq and is a predicted model, not a curated record.
CUUCUGGUCUGAAAUGUGAAAGAAUACGAGUUGUACAUGAAGGCAUCUGCAGACAGCAGCCAAAAUGCAGCAACUUCAGGUACGGCAAAGUCACAGCUAAAAA